GUGGAGCAGUUGGUAGCUCGUCGGGCUCAUAACCCGAAGGUCGUAGGUUCAAGUCCUGCCUCCGCAACCA
RNAcentral lists this transfer RNA (70 nucleotides) under Clostridium botulinum. RNAcentral's name for it is "tRNA-Met". It matches the Rfam family "tRNA". Rfam says of the family: Transfer RNA (tRNA) molecules are approximately 80 nucleotides in length. Their secondary structure includes four short double-helical elements and three loops (D, anti-codon, and T loops). Lineage: Bacteria; Bacillati; Bacillota; Clostridia; Eubacteriales; Clostridiaceae. The record is from RNAcentral.